UGACAGAGGCCCAGGUGGGACAGUUUCUU
Molecule: non-coding RNA, 29 nt
Filed under: Homo sapiens (human)
Lineage: Eukaryota; Metazoa; Chordata; Mammalia; Primates; Hominidae
Source: RNAcentral